UUUGUCUAGGUUUUCUUCACGCUUACAACAUCUGAGGGAGCAUCAUAAGCGAAAAGCCCAGACGAAAUGCUUAUCCAAGCUCAUGGAGGAUGAGAAACGUGACACACAAUCCUCAGGAUUACCAGCCCAAGAAAACCUGAGUAUCUCAUCAGAAGAGAGGUCUGAAAUACUUCCAGCCUCCAACAGCUCGGCCUCAGGAAGAUCUCAUGAAGAGGAGGCCUCAUCAGAAUCUCCUCCUGAGGUCCUGGCACCCUGUAACAGUU
Molecule: long non-coding RNA, 263 nt
Organism: Melanotaenia boesemani (Boeseman's rainbowfish)
Lineage: Eukaryota; Metazoa; Chordata; Actinopteri; Atheriniformes; Melanotaeniidae
Exons: 3
Source: RefSeq, a predicted model, not a curated record